Molecule: small RNA, 28 nt
Filed under: Bombyx mori (domestic silkworm)
Lineage: Eukaryota; Metazoa; Arthropoda; Insecta; Lepidoptera; Bombycidae
Description: ovarian small RNA-33971
Source: RNAcentral
UGCGGACCGCUUGAGUUGUGCAGCAUCC